RNAcentral lists this ribosomal RNA (433 nucleotides) under uncultured bacterium. Its description in RNAcentral is "partial 16S ribosomal RNA". It matches the Rfam family "Bacterial small subunit ribosomal RNA", at positions 29 to 507 of the family's 1533-position model. The record is from RNAcentral.
AACGAACGCUGGCGGCAUGCCUAACACAUGCAAGUCGAACGAGACCUUCGGGUCUAGUGGCGCACGGGUGCGUAACGCGUGGGAACCUGCCCUUAGGUUCGGAAUAACUCCCCGAAAGGGGUGCUAAUACCGGAUAAUGUCUUCGGACCAAAGAUUUAUCGCCUUUGGAUGGGCCCGCGUUGGAUUAGCUAGUUGGUAGGGUAAAAGCCUACCAAGGCGACGAUCCAUAGCUGGUCUGAGAGGAUGAUCAGCCACACUGGGACUGAGACACGGCCCAGACUCCUACGGGAAGCAGCAGUGGGGAAUAUUGGACAAUGGGCGAAAGCCUGAUCCAGCAAUGCCGCGUGAGUGAUGAAGGCCUUAGGGUUGUAAAGCUCUUUUACCCGGGAUGAGAAUGACAGUACCGGGAGAAUAAGCUCCGGCUAACUCCGUG